This 338-nucleotide ribosomal RNA is filed under the name Scathophaga soror. RNAcentral describes it as "partial 12S ribosomal RNA". The record is from RNAcentral. Lineage: Eukaryota; Metazoa; Arthropoda; Insecta; Diptera; Scathophagidae.
UUAAAAUGUAAUUAAAAAAAUUAAGGUAGUAGUAGUUAUGUUCUUGAAACUUAAAAAAUUUGGCGGUAUUUUAGUCUAUUCAGAGGAACCUGUUCUAUAAUCGAUAAUCCACGAUGGACCUUACUUAAAUUUGUAAUCAGUUUAUAUACCGUCGUUAUUAGAAUAUUUUAUAAGAAUGUUAAUUUUCAUAAUUUUUAAAAAGAAAAUAUAUCAGAUCAAGGUGUAGCUUAUAUUUAAGUAGAAAUGGGUUACAAUAAAUUUAUUUAAACGAAUAUAAAUUUGAAAUAUUUAUUGAAGGUGGAUUUGAUAGUAAAAUUAUAAAGAUUAAUAAUUUGAUU